CUGCAACUGAGCUACUAUAUGAAUCUUGGAUGAAGCUGUGUUCACCACUCUUUCAUUUAGUUGACAAACGUAAAGCAGCGACACUGACCGUUUAGGAGAAGACUGCAACAAGUCCAGCGCACCUCAAGGGUGGCUCUGGCUUUGUGUUGACAUCACAGCUGGCGUGCUCCAUGGCCAGUGUGUCGAGCAUAACCGCACUGUUAGGGGAAGACAUAUGUUUGAGAAACACAAGAACCAAGCCUGUGGUGUCUGAGCCCUGUGCCAACCGUGUUUGAUAGCAGACCACUAGAUCUGUACACUGCUACUCAUUGUGUCCAUGUUUUCAACUACCGUGAUAUGUUCUUUGAAAGAGAACAUUGUAGCAAGAUGGUGGGGAACAUUUAUGUCUCUUUUGUGAAAAAAAAA
Molecule: long non-coding RNA, 405 nt
Organism: Monopterus albus (swamp eel)
Lineage: Eukaryota; Metazoa; Chordata; Actinopteri; Synbranchiformes; Synbranchidae
Exons: 2
Source: RefSeq, a predicted model, not a curated record